UACUUGUGUUUUUCAGGGACAGAAAUAUCGAGUGGAACCAGUGUUUUGGCUAUGGGUCAGACAAUGUAUGAUGGUGGGUCACAACAACUUGGUGCUGUCUAGAAUCAAAGAGAAGUGACCAGAUGUCUAUGACAUGGGCUGCUGUGCCAUAUUGCCAAUACCUGUGUACAGUAGGGGUUGAAAAAGGCCAGCUUUGCUUUUCACUUCCAUCAUAGUUUCAAGAGCAAAGAGAUACAUGGAGAAUUCCUGUCUUUCACCUAUACUGAGCCCUCGAAGAUUUUCAAACAUUGUUCAGCACGCUGGCUAUCCCUUGAGAAAUGUUCGCGGCGGUUUCUUCAGCACUGCCCUGCCUUGAAGUCUUACUUGAACAGUCAUGAUGACAGUGAAAUGUCUGGGAACAGGGUUCAAAGAUGUGCUACCAGACUCCCUGAAUUGUUGUUCAGCCUGAGUUACCACUUACUUGAAUUCAUUAUGGGUCCUCUGAAUGAAUUCAGUAGCAUAUUUCAGGCUAGUGAGUCAAUGAUUGGUUAUCUCCAUCCAGAAAUGGAACAACUAGUGCGGAAGUUUUUAGGGACAUUUGUAUAGACCAAGGUUAUGACAUCUGCCAGAACCAUCACUGAAGUCCAUGCCGAGGAGAGGGAAAACCAACAUCCAGACGAGGACCUGGCUGUGGGUAUGGGUACACUCCCUACAUAUCUUCAUGACAACCCGGAUAUUCCAGCAGAAACCAUCAGAAAGCUUUUCAGUUCUGUGAGAGACUUUAACCUUGGGGGACCAGUAUGAUUGUGAAGAAGUUAUCCAUUGGUGACACUACCUAGCACAACCCAAUCUUCUCCAGGAUUAAAACCUACAGCGUUCUAAUAAAGAUCUUGUGUUGGACCUGUUGAGCUUACAGGCAGAGCUGGCUUGGUGGAAACGACAUCAAAAGGUUGUUGCAUCAUCUGUAGACUAGCAAUAAAUUAGGUGAUAAAAAAUGUGUCAAACAGAAUCAGACUUUUAAAAAAUUUAAUGUACAGUGAAACACCACUCGCUCGAGGUCACAAGGGGAUGAGCAAAAUGCUCAAGUUAUCCAUGGUUUCGAGCGACCCAAACAUUGACAAACAUAUAAAGAAAAAUUAAGUUUGUUUUACCAAUUGUCAUAGGGAUUAUUUGCAGAGGAAACUGUGAUGCGUAAUAAUAACACACUCGUGACAUUUUCAAAAAAACGUAUUACAAACGUUAUCUAUGAUAGUCGUUUCAAUAUGUAAUUUGUAAAUGGCACAUGUGAAGAAACAACUAAGACUUUUUAUUUUUAGCUCACCUGAGCAUGAAGUGCUCAAAGGUGAACUUUUGUGAGCGCCCUGUGUCCGUCAUCUGUCGUCGUCAAUAAUUUGACUGUUAACACUAGAGGUCACAAUUUUGGCCCAAUCUUAAUGAAACUUGGUCAGAAUGUUACUCUCAAUUAAAUCUUGGAUGAGUUCGAUAUUGGGUCAUCUGGGGUCAAAAACUAGGUCACCAGGUCAAAUCAAAGGAAAAGCUUGUUAACACUC
Molecule: long non-coding RNA, 1529 nt
Organism: Mercenaria mercenaria
Lineage: Eukaryota; Metazoa; Mollusca; Bivalvia; Venerida; Veneridae
Exons: 4
Source: RefSeq, a predicted model, not a curated record